This 58-nucleotide microRNA precursor is filed under the name Equus caballus (horse). RNAcentral's name for it is "microRNA eca-mir-1302 precursor (eca-mir-1302-1)". The stretch from base 4 to 54 matches the Rfam family "mir-1302 microRNA precursor family". Lineage: Eukaryota; Metazoa; Chordata; Mammalia; Perissodactyla; Equidae. The record is from miRBase by way of RNAcentral.
AAUUUUUCAGUACAAUAUGUCUCAUGCAACAUUUGGGACAUACUUAUACUAAAAUAUU